AGACUUAGAAUUAAAAUAUCACGUAAUUAUAAUAUUAUUAGUAAGCAUAAUAUAUGAUUAUCUAAAGGGAGAGAUAAGUCUGAAUCAGGUAAUCUCCAUUUUAGAGGACGUAGAGAAAAUCAUCACUACUAACGCCACGCCUACUCCUAACUAAUAUACCUUACCUUAAGUCCUGACUGGUCCCUAGACCCUCUACACUCAUUGUCAGUUCCUAGCUCUCGGCGUCCCUUGGGUAUAACCGGUGUAUGCAGAUUGCCCCACAAAAAUAGAAAGCAUUAUUUUUUCCCUAACUGAGGCAUAGAAAGAAAAACGUCACUCAGACGUGACAGUAUUAAUAGAGAUGGAGGAGGAGAAGAAUAAAAGAAAUUAUUAAAGAAGGGAUGAGUAUUAAGAAGGAAAUGAGAUAUUGGGCUAGACGAGGACCUGACAAUGAAGGAGCGAAGAAUAACGUGGAAGAUGGUAGUGGGCGCGUCGUGAUCACGCCAAAAUACUUAGCGAUAUACACAGAGAGACCAAAAUACGAAAUAUGAUUCGCUCUAUUACAACAGUAUAUAUUAUUUUAUUAUAAUUAAAGAACUAGUGUUAUAUAAUUUGAGUUACGCGGGAUUACGCUUUCUAAAUGUAUUUGCAUAUUCCGCGGUUCCAAGCCGAACAUACUCUAUUAUUUUUUGCUGCCGACGGGCGACGGACGACCGCAUAGGCAACGGGCGAGGAGAACGAAAGCGUAACUUUGAUUAAAUAAGGAAGCAAAGUUUAAAUAUGAAGAACAAACAAGUUGCUGUACAUAUUGAGAAUGUCACACAUGCAAAGUCCUUGUGGUUCAGUCUUAGCGAUUUUAUUCAAGUUUUUCUUCAUAUCGAAUAAUUGAGUUCAGACAGCGAAAAGUUCAGAUCUAAACUCUGAGACGAACUUCCGCAUAUCAAUUGAUUGUGCCUCAUUUAUAAAAGGAAGAGUUACACAGAAGUAAUUCUGUAACAGGUAGACUCCACAACGCUGACUCUAUAACGCAGCUCCAUAAAGCAGAGUCCAUAAUACACCAAAAACAAGUUUCAUUCGACAGAUAACUCAUCAAUGGAAAUUAAUCCUGUUCGCGACUCAUUACCUCUUGAUAUUCGCAAUAUACAAGUUCCUUGUUCAACAAAUUCUUUGAAAAGAACAAUCAAGAAACACUUUUGUCCAUACUGUAAAAAAUUACAAACAAAAUUUGCUCGACAUCUGGAAAUAAAGCAUAAGACGGAAAGUGAUGUCCAAAAGUUUAUACAUAUUAAAAAAGGAACUCGUGAAAGAGCAAAACUUAUUUCAACUAUCCGUAAUCACGGCAACUUAUUACAUAAUACGCAUAAUGAAUUGAAUACAGGCAUAUUAAUAACAGUGAGACAGCGUCAAACUAAAUAUAAAAAAUCUGUUGACAAUUAUAUUUGUUGUACGAAUUGUAAAGGUUUUUAUUCAAAAGAUACUAUACGUAUCCACUACAAUAAAUGUAAAGCAACACAUAAGAAAGGUGUGCGUGAAAUCACUGUUAUGGGUAGACGAUUAACAGGAUAUAAUCAUACUUCUGCUUGUGAAACUCUUCGUGAAAUUGUAUUCCCCGUUCUAAGAAAUGACGCAGUUACAAAAUGCAUCCAGUAUGAUGAAUUAAUAAUAUUAUUUGGUAAUAAACUCUGUGAAAGAUAUACGAGUACUCACCAACACGAUAUGAUAAGAGCACAUUUAAGAUUGCUAGGACGUUAUAAACUUGCCAUUCAAGAGAUUGAUAAAGAAAUUGAUGAUUUUCAAUUGAUUUUUUAGCCACAAAAUUUUAAUUCAGCUGUAAGCGCUCUUAGAAAAGUUGCUAAGUGGAAUACAUCUAUAAUGUGGUUUAAAACACCUGCAGUUGCUAAUACAUUGACCACUUUAUUAAAAAAGUGUGCAAAUACAUUAAAGGCUGAAUGUAUAAAAAAAACAAGAUUAUAAGAGAAAACAGGCUGUUGAUGAUUUCCUAAUUUUGUGGCAAGAUAAAGUUCCAACUGUAAUAAAUAAAAAAGCUGUGGAAGAUCAAAUAAAAUAUAAGCGACAAA
Nylanderia fulva is the source of this 2057-nucleotide non-coding RNA. Lineage: Eukaryota; Metazoa; Arthropoda; Insecta; Hymenoptera; Formicidae. The record is from RefSeq and is a predicted model, not a curated record.